Long non-coding RNA from Sorex araneus (European shrew), 586 nucleotides. RefSeq lists it as uncharacterized. Lineage: Eukaryota; Metazoa; Chordata; Mammalia; Eulipotyphla; Soricidae. The record is from RefSeq and is a predicted model, not a curated record. The transcript has 3 exons.
CUUCAGACCUGCCCCCCAGCCGGGCUUGCUCGCUGCCUCCGGUGUCCCCGCGGGACUAAACCCUACUGGCUACCUUCCCUUGCCGGCCACCAUCUGCGUGACAGUGGAGCCCUCUCGGCUUCCUCCCAGGAGGGUGGAGACUCUACAUUUUUGAUCCUUCCAGUCAACAAGGAAAGUAAUCAAGGAGUAGAAGAAUGUCAGUGAGUGGGACCUCCAGGGAGUCAGGUUCCUUCGACAAGCCCUGGGAUCAUCUUUGCAAUAUGAGAAGCAAGCACACCUCAAGACUGAAGAGGAAAAUCAAGCCUCAGUAGGAGGAAAAGGGGCGUUUAUUUUCCAUUUGUAGCCCUUGAAUCGAUUGUAAAGACAGACUGAAUCUUGGAAGUCUUGGGGCUGGAGCGAUAGCACAGCGGGUAGGGCGUUUAUCUUAAACUCGGCCAACCCAGGUUCGAUUCCCAGCAUCCCAUAUGGUCCCCUGAGAACCGCCAGGAGUAAUUCCUGAGUGCAGACCCAGGAGUAACCCCUGUGCAUUGCUGGGUGUGACCCAAAAAGAAAAAAAAAAAAACAUCUUGGAAGUCUGAAUAAACUG